AACGCUAGCUACAGGCUUAACACAUGCAAGUCGAGGGGCAGCAUUAUCGAAGCUUGCUUUGAUAGAUGGCGACCGGCGCACGGGUGAGUAACGCGUAUCCAACCUUCCCCAUAGUCAGGAAUAGCCCGGCGAAAGUCGAAUUAAUGCCUGAUGUUUUCCACGGACGGCAUCUGAUGUGGAACAAAGAUUCAUCGCUAUGGGAUGGGGAUGCGUCUGAUUAGCUUGUUGGCGGGGUAACGGCCCACCAAGGCAACGAUCAGUAGGGGUUCUGAGAGGAAGGUCCCCCACAUUGGAACUGAGACACGGUCCAAACUCCUACGGGAGGCAGCAGUGAGGAAUAUUGGUCAAUGGGCGGAAGCCUGAACCAGCCAAGUAGCGUGAGGGAUGACUGCCCUAUGGGUUGUAAACUGCUUUUAUAAGGGAAUAAAGUGAGUCUCGUGAGACUUUUUGCAUGUACCUUAUGAAUAAGGACCGGCUAAUUCCGUGCCAGCAGCCGCGGUAAUACGGAAGGUCCGGGCGUUAUCCGGAUUUAUUGGGUUUGAAGGGAGCGUAGGCCGGAGAUUAAGCGUGUUGUGAAAUGUAGAGGCUCAACCUCUGCACUGCAGCGCGAACUGGUCUUCUUGAGUACGCACAACGUGGGCGGAAUUCGUGGUGUAGCGGUGAAAUGCUUAGAUAUCACGAAGAACUCCGAUUG
Molecule: ribosomal RNA, 694 nt
Filed under: uncultured bacterium
Lineage: Bacteria
Description: bacterial SSU rRNA
Rfam family: Bacterial small subunit ribosomal RNA
Source: RNAcentral